Molecule: long non-coding RNA, 863 nt
Organism: Centruroides sculpturatus (bark scorpion)
Lineage: Eukaryota; Metazoa; Arthropoda; Arachnida; Scorpiones; Buthidae
Exons: 3
Source: RefSeq, a predicted model, not a curated record
CGAAGUGGGGGUGUGCAAGGUAACAGUAGGACUCUGCGGUGAACCAAGCCCCCUGGAAAGAUCACGGUGUGCGUAGGAGUCGUAACCAUUAGGAGACAUACUUUUUUCAGUUUGAAUAUCCAUUCAUCCAAAAAUAUCACUAAAAAUGGAAGAAUGCAGAAUGAAUAAUCCUAGGACAAAUCAAAUGUAGAACAUGAAGGUGGAAUUUUGCAUUUAAUGAUGUAUGUAAAUUAAAAAAUUUUUUUAGUAAUUUUAAAGGUUUAAAUAGUUAAAAAGUUUAGAAUAAUUUAACUUAAAUAUAAAACUUCUUAAAUUGUAUAGAAAAAGAUGCAACAGAAAUACUUUUUCUAUGAGACAAAUUAAAGAAUAAAAUAUAUUUAUUAUCUAUAAAAAUGGCCCACACAUAAACUAGACUAGCAAUGAUUUAAAAGUCUAUUUUCUCUGCGUCGCGUUUGAUUUAGUUUAAUAAUAAUCGAGAAUUAAGUUUUUAUGUUAAUUAACGUUGAGUAAAAUAUAAUUUUAAAGCGUAACAGAAAUUAAUACAUUGAUGUUGAUGUAUUCCAUUCAAUCCAGUAGAAGAAAAUUGAUAGCGGCUAAAAGUACAUUUAGCCAAUAAUAUAUUACAGAACUGCUUGCUCAUCAAUUUAUUUAUUAAAUUUUAUUAUAUUAAUAUUUGAUAAUAUAUUCCUAACUCGAGUAAUCGAGUUAUUUAAUUUCGGAAUCUUUCGGUUCGCGUGAACCGGCCGGUAAUAGAUAUGUCGCGUACGUUCGAUUUGAGUCGGGUCGUAAUUUUUACGAUAAAUUAAUUUUGCUUUUUACAUUUUGUACUAUAAAACUGCAACGAUUAUUAUUAAAAUAUAAUU